Molecule: ribosomal RNA, 409 nt
Filed under: Bacilli bacterium oral taxon C43
Lineage: Bacteria; Bacillati; Bacillota; Bacilli
Description: bacterial SSU rRNA
Rfam family: Bacterial small subunit ribosomal RNA
Source: RNAcentral
GACGAACGCUGGCGGCGUGCCUAAUACAUGCAAGUCGAGCGGAGUUUUUAAAAGCUUGCUUUUAAAAACUCAGCGGCGGACGGGUGAGUAACACGUGGGCAACCUGCCCUGUAGACUGGGAUAACUUCGGGAAACCGAAGCUAAUACCGGAUAAUCAUAGAAGUUGCAUAGCUUCUAUGUAAAAGUUGGGUUUACCUAACACUACAGGAUGGGCCCGCGUCGCAUUAGCUAGUUGGUAAGGUAACGGCUUACCAAGGCGACGAUGCGUAGCCGACCUGAGAGGGUGAUCGGCCACACUGGGACUGAGACACGGCCCAGACUCCUACGGGAGGCAGCAGUAGGGAAUCUUCCGCAAUGGACGAAAGUCUGACGGAGCAACGCCGCGUGAGCGAUGAAGGCCUUCGGGUCG